AGAAAGUUGGCUCAAUGGUAGAGCAUCUGCUUUGAAUGCAGAAAGUGCCAGGUGAGUUUCUGACAUUUCCA
RNAcentral lists this transfer RNA (71 nucleotides) under Sphaerodactylus townsendi. RNAcentral describes it as "tRNA-Ser". The stretch from base 1 to 62 matches the Rfam family "tRNA". From Rfam's summary of the family: Transfer RNA (tRNA) molecules are approximately 80 nucleotides in length. Their secondary structure includes four short double-helical elements and three loops (D, anti-codon, and T loops). Further hydrogen bonds mediate the characteristic L-shaped molecular structure. tRNAs have two regions of fundamental functional importance: the anti-codon, which is responsible for specific mRNA codon recognition, and the 3' end, to which the tRNAs corresponding amino acid is attached (by aminoacyl-tRNA synthetases). tRNAs cope with the degeneracy of the genetic code in two manners: having more than one tRNA (with a specific anti-codon) for a particular amino acid; and 'wobble' base-pairing, i.e. permitting non-standard base-pairing at the 3rd anti-codon position. Lineage: Eukaryota; Metazoa; Chordata; Lepidosauria; Squamata; Sphaerodactylidae. The record is from RNAcentral.